GCGCGUGUGAGUGAGUGUGAGCGAGUGUGUUGGUGCAUUUGUCUUUGGGGGCCGGGGCCGCGGCGCUGGGGAAAUUCCGUUCCUUAUUCUUCUUGGGCAACUUGUUAUUCUGAAGAGGAGAACUUACCUAGGUGCACGUUACAGAGGUGUCAGAGGGUAACAAGAUUUCAUGGACCUGGAGGUAAAGAACUUUUGAGAAAAGACGUCUCCAUGGGCCUACGGAAGCCUCAGUGGUGAAGUGGUCCUAUUUUUCCCACUUACUACAUUGUCCUCGCUCCUGCCAUCCUGGACUCAUCCAUGUGGGUAACUGCCACGAAGAUAGAUGCCCACUCGCCUUGUGUGGACAGCUCUCAGUUCUGCCCAGUAGGAGGUGCUGCAACGACAGAAGGCCAUUUCUUCUGCUGAAUUUUGAGCUUGGCCUUACCACUCGUGUUCGGCAUCUGGGCCAAAGGAGUGACAGGUUAACAUUCAGCUCAGAGUUCCAGGAGUGCCUUCAGGGGACCAGAGAGCUGAAAGAAAGCUGGCUUUUCUGAAAGUUGCUGCAGUGAGAAGACAUUUAUCAUUUUGAAUAAAGACUGAAGAAACUGUAGAAUUAGCA
This 598-nucleotide long non-coding RNA is filed under the name Vombatus ursinus (common wombat). RNAcentral's name for it is "lncRNA (ENSVURG00010010839.1)". The record is from RNAcentral. Lineage: Eukaryota; Metazoa; Chordata; Mammalia; Diprotodontia; Vombatidae.